AGCGAACGCUGGCGGCAGGCUUAACACAUGCAAGUCGAACGGGCGUAGCAAUACGUCAGUGGCAGACGGGUGAGUAACGCGUGGGAACGUACCUUUUGGUUCGGAACAACCCAGGGAAACUUGGGCUAAUACCGGAUAAGCCCUUACGGGGAAAGAUUUAUCGCCGAAAGAUCGGCCCGCGUCUGAUUAGCUAGUUGGUGUGGUAACGGCGCACCAAGGCGACGAUCAGUAGCUGGUCUGAGAGGAUGAUCAGCCACACUGGGACUGAGACACGGCCCAGACUCCUACGGGAGGCAGCAGUGGGGAAUAUUGGACAAUGGGCGCAAGCCUGAUCCAGCCAUGCCGCGUGAGUGAUGAAGGCCUUAGGGUUGUAAAGCUCUUUCGGCGGGGAC
This 392-nucleotide ribosomal RNA is filed under the name uncultured bacterium. RNAcentral describes it as "bacterial SSU rRNA". It matches the Rfam family "Bacterial small subunit ribosomal RNA", at positions 29 to 446 of the family's 1533-position model. The record is from RNAcentral.